Molecule: ribosomal RNA, 301 nt
Filed under: uncultured bacterium
Lineage: Bacteria
Description: partial 16S ribosomal RNA
Rfam family: Bacterial small subunit ribosomal RNA
Source: RNAcentral
CAGCAGCCGCGGGAACACGUAGGUGGCAAGCGUUGUCCGGAAUUAUUGGGCGUAAAGCGUGCGUAGGUGGUGGUUUAAGUCCGUUGUGAAAGCCCUGGGCUCAACCUGGGAAUUGCAGUGGAUACUGGGUCACUAGAGUGUGGUAGAGGAUAGUGGAAUUUCCGGUGUAGCAGUGAAAUGCGUAGAGAUCGGAAGGAACAUCUGUGGCGAAGGCGACUAUCUGGGCCAACACUGACACUGAGGCACGAAAGCGUGGGGAGCAAACAGGAUUAGAUACCCCCGUAGUCCCUGUCUCUUAUAC